RNAcentral lists this ribosomal RNA (376 nucleotides) under uncultured bacterium. RNAcentral describes it as "bacterial SSU rRNA". It matches the Rfam family "Bacterial small subunit ribosomal RNA", at positions 30 to 417 of the family's 1533-position model. The record is from RNAcentral.
AUUGAACGCUGGCGGCAUGCCUAACACAUGCAAGUCGAACGGGGUAGCAAUACCCAGUGGCGGACGGGUGAGGAAUACAUAGGAAUUUGCCUUUAGGUGGGGGAUAGCCCGGGGAAACUCGGAGUAAUACCGCAUGAUGUCGAAAGACCAAAGUAGGGGAUCGCAAGACCUUGCGCCUUUAGAGAAGCCUAUGUCUGUAUUAGCUAGUUGGUAGGGUAAUGGCCUACCAAGGCGACGANCAGUAACUGGUCUGAGAGGACGAUCAGUCACACCGGAACUGAGACACGGUCCGGACUCCUACGGGAGGCAGCAGUGGGGAAUAUUGGACAAUGGGCGAAAGCCUGAUCCAGCAAUGCCGCGUGUGUGAAGAAGGCCU